Mauremys reevesii (Reeves's turtle) is the source of this 616-nucleotide long non-coding RNA. RefSeq lists it as uncharacterized. The transcript has 3 exons. The record is from RefSeq and is a predicted model, not a curated record. NCBI's taxonomy places the organism in Eukaryota, Metazoa, Chordata, Testudines, Geoemydidae.
CAGGAGGGUGGAGGGGCGCUGCCACCACCUCCCCAGCCAGGCUCUUGCAGGCAGCCAUCACGCCGCACAGAGCAGUGACCUGGAGCUGCCAGCAUGAGAAGUGUUUGGUCCUGCCCCUUCCACUCCCCGCCUGGGCCCAGCUGCCGGGGACAGGGGUGAGCACGCCAGGGGGCAGGCACAGCGAGAGAAGAAUGUGGACAGGCCAAUCUUGGGGGCACUUGACUCUGUAUGCUGCCCCUGCCCCCACGCAGCACCAUGGUGCCUCGGUGGAUUGGGUGGGAAGCUCCAAGCAUCCACCACCCCAGACCGAAGAGACGUCGAUAUACAUGAGCAUGACACUGCAGCGGGAUACAUGUCAUUAAUGUUCCAAUUGCUGUAAUGCAGAACUCGUCCAUGCACAGCCUCAUCACAGAACCCCCCCAAAAUCAGAGGCAACUGUAGCCCAGGCUGUGCAGCAACGACAUGGGAGACUUUCUCUGGAGCCACAACUGGACCAUGCACAGUGACCCGAAGUGUGGUAGGACACUGGAAUAUUCUCAGGACACAUGGAGCAUGUUUGCCUUUUGGAAAAAAAUGUUUCUUCUGAAUAAAAUUGGGAAAAAAUACCCAAACUCUC